CUCCUACGGGGGGCAGCAGUGGGGAAUAUUGGGCAAUGGGCGCAAGCCUGACCCAGCAACGCCGCGUGAAGGAAGAAGGCUUUCGGGUUGUAAGCUCUAUCAGCAGGGAAUAGAAAAGAAGGUACCUGAAAAAGAAGCCCCGGCUAACUACGUGCCAGCAGCCGCGGUAAUACGUAGGGGGCAAGCGUUAUCCGGAUUUACUGGGUGUAAAGGGAGCGUAGACGGAAAGGCAAGUCAGAAGUGAAAACCCAAGGCUCAACCAUGGGACUGCUUUUGAAACUGUCAAACUAGAGUACGGGAGAGGA
RNAcentral lists this ribosomal RNA (305 nucleotides) under uncultured bacterium. RNAcentral's name for it is "bacterial SSU rRNA". It matches the Rfam family "Bacterial small subunit ribosomal RNA", at positions 336 to 658 of the family's 1533-position model. The record is from RNAcentral.